AGUAUGAGAAAUUAAUGAUUUAAGUCAUUCUUAAAUGAGGCCAUUUACCCAUAGAGGGUGCCAGGCCCGUAUAACGUUAAUGAUUACUAGAUGGUGUUUCCAAAGAGUCGUGUUGCUUGAUAGUGCAGCACUAAGUGGGUGGUAAACUCCAUCUAAAACUAAAUAUAACCAUGAGACCGAUAGUAAACAAGUACCGUGAGGGAAAGUUGAAAAGAACUCUGAAUAGAGAGUUAAAUAGUACGUGAAACUGUUUAGAGGUUAAGCCCGAUGAACCUGAAUAUCCAUUAUGGAAAAUUCAUCAUUAGAGUUUUAAUAUUUUAAUAAUAUUAUAAUAAUAGUGUGCAUUUUUUCCAUAUAAGGACAUUGUAAUCUAUUAACAUAAACCAAAUUUAUCAUAAAAUAUGACUUAUAGUUUAUUUAAAUUAUUUUGCUUGCAUUUUAACAUAGAAUAAAUGUCAUUAAUUUGAUAAAGUGUUGAUAGAUUUAUAUGAAUACAGUGCGUUAAUUUUUCGGAAUUAUAUAAUAGCAUGAUUAUCAUUGAUUUUCUGUGUUUAUUAUAUGCACUUGUAUGAUUAACAAUGCGAAAGCUCCAGGAUACCUUCGGGACCCGUCUUGAAACACGGACCAAGGAGUCUAACAUAUGUGCAAGUUAUUGGGAUAUAAACCUAAUAGCAUAAUUAACUUGACUAAUAAUGGGAUUAGUUUUUUAACUAUUUAUAGAUAAUUAACACAAUCCCGGGGCGUUCUAUAUAGUUAUGUAUAAUGAUAUUUAUAUUAUUUAUACCUCUAACUGGAACGUACCUUGAGCAUAUAUGCUGUGACCCGAAAGAUGGUGAACUAUACUUGAUCAGGUUGAAGUCAGGGGAAACCCUGAUGGAAGACCGAAACAGUUCUGACGUGCAAAUCGAUUGUCAGAAUUGAGUAUAGGGGCGAAAGACCAAUCGAACCAUCUAGUAGCUGAAUAGUUGUAGUAGUUCAAGAAACAAUAACAUGGUUUAUGUGCUCGUUCUGGGUAAAUAGAGUUUCUAUCAUUUAUGAUAGUUAUUUGUUCCCCGGAUAGUUAGUUACGUAGCCAAUUGUGGAACUUUCUUGCUAAAAUUUUUAACAAUACUAAUUUUCAAUUAGUUCUUUUAAAUUAUAACGGUAGCCAAAUGCCUCGUCAUCUAAUUAGUGACGCGCAUGAAUGGAUUAACGAGAUUCCUACUGUCCCUAUCUACUGUCUAGCGAAACCACAGCCAAGGGAACGGGCUUGGAAUAAUUAGCGGGGAAAGAAGACCCUUUUGAGCUUGACUCUAAUCUGGCAGUGUAAGGAGACAUAAGAGGUGUAAAAUAAGUGGGAGAUAUUAUUCCUUGUGUUUGAUAUCGCCAAUGAAAUACCACUACUCUUAUUGUUUCCUUACUUACUUGAUUAAAUGGAACGUGUAUCAUUUCCUAGCCAUUAUACGGAUAUAUUUAUUAUAUCUUAUGGUAUUGGGUUUUGAUGCAAGCUUCUUGAUCAAAGUAUCACGAGUUUGUUAUAUAAUCGCAAACAAAUUCUUUAAUGAGAGAGUGCAUUUAUGUAUUUUUAAUUUGAAAUAUUUGGUAUAACUCCAAUUACUCAGGUAUGAUCCAAUUCAAGGACAUUGCCAGGUAGGGAGUUUGACUGGGGCGGUACAUCUCUCAAAUAAUAACGGAGGUGUUCCAAGGCCAGCUCAGUGCGGACAGAAACCACACAUAGAGCAAAAGGGCAAAUGCUGACUUGAUCUCGGUGUUCAGUACACACAGGGACAGCAAAAGCUCGGCCUAUCGAUCCUUUUGGUUUAAAGAGUUUUUAACAAGAGGUGUCAGAAAAGUUACCAUAGGGAUAACUGGCUUGUGGCGGCCAAGCGUUCGUAGCGACGUCGCUUUUUGAUCCUUCGAUGUCGGCUCUUCCUAUCAUUGUGAAGCAAAAUUCACCAAGCGUUGGAUUGUUCACCCAUGCAAGGGAACGUGAGCUGGGUUUAGACCGUCAUUCCUGCGUAGUACGAGAGGA
This 2011-nucleotide ribosomal RNA is filed under the name Drosophila willistoni. Its description in RNAcentral is "eukaryotic LSU rRNA". It matches the Rfam family "Eukaryotic large subunit ribosomal RNA", at positions 160 to 2978 of the family's 3401-position model. The record is from RNAcentral. Lineage: Eukaryota; Metazoa; Arthropoda; Insecta; Diptera; Drosophilidae.